CCCGUUCUCUGUCUCUCUCACCAAGUCGGAGCAGUUUACACCUGGGGUAAAGGUGACUACCACCGGCUGGGUCCGGUUCUGAUGACCACGUACGGCGACCCAGACAGGUCCAGGGCCUGCAGGGGAAGAAGGUCAUUGCCAUAGCAACGGGGUCACUCCACUGUGUCUGCUGCACUGAAGAUGAGUGUACACGUGGGGUGAUAAUGACGAGGGCCAGCUGGGAGACGGGACCACUAACGCCAUCCAGAGGCCUCGUCUGGUCGCUGCGUUGCAGGGAAAGAAGAUCAACAGGGUGGCCUGUGGCUCUGCCCACAACUGCCUGGUCCACCUCCAAACCUACCAAUGGUGGGAAACUUCCUGGUCAGGUAACUAUCGAAUGUUAUAACUUCCUGGUCAGGUAACUACUGAAUGUUAUAACUUCCUGGUCAGGUAACUACUGGACGGUAUAACUUCCUGGUCAGGUAACUACUGAAUGUUAUAACUUCCUGGUCAGGUAACUACUGAAUGUUAUAACUUCCUGGUCAGGUAACUACUGAAUGUUAUAACUUCCUGGUCA
This is a non-coding RNA of Salvelinus sp. IW2-2015, 556 nucleotides long. NCBI's taxonomy places the organism in Eukaryota, Metazoa, Chordata, Actinopteri, Salmoniformes, Salmonidae. The record is from RefSeq and is a predicted model, not a curated record.